RNAcentral lists this ribosomal RNA (207 nucleotides) under uncultured bacterium. RNAcentral's name for it is "partial 16S ribosomal RNA". It matches the Rfam family "Bacterial small subunit ribosomal RNA", at positions 568 to 774 of the family's 1533-position model. The record is from RNAcentral.
CACGCAGGCGGUCUGUCAAGUCGGAUGUGAAAUCCCCGGGCUCAACCUGGGAACUGCAUUCGAAACUGGCAGGCUAGAGUCUUGUAGAGGGGGGUAGAAUUCCAGGUGUAGCGGUGAAAUGCGUAGAGAUCUGGAGGAAUACCGGUGGCGAAGGCGGCCCCCUGGACAAAGACUGACGCUCAGGUGCGAAAGCGUGGGGAGCAAACA